This is a long non-coding RNA of Physeter macrocephalus (sperm whale), 3272 nucleotides long. RefSeq lists it as uncharacterized. The transcript has 4 exons. NCBI's taxonomy places the organism in Eukaryota, Metazoa, Chordata, Mammalia, Artiodactyla, Physeteridae. The record is from RefSeq and is a predicted model, not a curated record.
GAGAAACGGCCGCCGGCCAUUGUAAAGCUGUGGAAAAGUGAAGUUGGUCUUGGCUUCUGGCUUCACGGAGGUUCUUCUAUUAACCAGAGAUGAGCAUUGGACAUGAGCUCAGCCGAAGCAAAUUGGGAAUGAGGUUUCUACAUUCCAGACUGAACCUGGCACUCAGCAAAAAUCUGCUCUCAGGUUCUCCCACAUCUCCAAUCUUUUCGGACUUUAGGUUGAUCUGAUACCACCACCAGGACCUCCCCGGCUUCCAUGGGAUCCUGGGAUAGCAUCAUGAAGACAGAGCCUUGAAAUCACCUUCUGUCGUCCAAGGCUUUUCAACUCUAUUCUUCUGCAAACAUUUACUUCCUUUCUUCAAAACAAACAACCCAGUCAUUCGCCAAAACUUGAGCAGAUUCUGUUCCUCAAGACUAGACCUUCAGGUCAUCUUUCCCAUGAGGUCAAGGUCAAAGGGAAGUUCAGGUGCUACAGGGUAUUCAACACAUAAACCUGAGGGAAAAGAAAAUGGAAAUCUGGCCUAGACACUUGGGCUGAAGAAGACAAUGAAGCUGAUGUAAAGAGCAACUCACCUCAAGUCCGCCGGAGCGCACACUUGGAAUUGGUUAAUUAGUGAUGAGAAAGUAUUUGCUUACCUCCAUCUACACCGACAGCUCUGAGAAGGAAGGGAGUCUCCUUUACUUACCAUCGUGUCCCAAAUCUCCAUUACGCUGACCACCUUGCACAGAAGCCAUCUGGAGGUGCUGUGCAUGGUUCUGGCAUGGUGACAUCACAAGCACAAGGCUGGUCAUCACUUCCAGGAAGAGUGGUCUGACAGAGAGUGAGCCCGCACGUGGUCCAGACUGCUGGCGAGGCCCGGGGCCAGAAUUGCUGCCAGAAGCCAAGGACUGUGAGAUUCUGCUCCAGGUCUGGGGGAAAGAAUUGCAUAGAACACCUACCUCACCCCACUUAGGAUAUUUCAUCCUAUAAACCUGGCGGUGACUUUGUGCUUCUAAUAACCUGGCGGGUGAUAAGUGGGAUAACGGCACAAGCAGGCCCUUUGGAGUCCCAGAGAAAUUAGCUUUUUGAGGGAAAUACAAAGGGAUUGCAUUCAUUUCUAAGAAACUUCUAGAAACUGCUUGGUUUUUACAAAUAGUGUGGGCUUUCUUAAACAGGUCUGUGAUCUAAAAUAUUUUAGAGAGAAGCUUAAUAGCAAGGAUCAGAAGAGCAACCACAGAAAUGUUUCCAUUAACAGCUAUGAAGUUGUAAGACCCCAUUCCCAUACCAUCCUGGUUAACCAGAGAUUUUUGAUGGACCAGGUAUACUACAUCCUGACUAUACCUUAUGAGACCGGCAGAUGAGACCAACGGCUCCACCUGGAACUUGUAAGUGCAGAAUCUCAGGCCUUACCUAAGAGCUGCUGAAUCAGGACCUGCAGUUUUAAUAAGACCCCAGGUGAUUUGUGUGUAUAUUAAAGUUUGAGAAGUGCUGGCCUACAGGUCCUCUGGUCCAUCUGAUAUUUUUCAAGCAAGGAAGCGGAAGCCCAGGAGAGGAAGUCUUUUACCCCAGGUGACAGGAAGGUGGGGGGCUGUGACAGGGAAAUCCCACAGCCCCCAUGCCCAGCGGAGGCUUGUCCCUACUCCUUCCCCUGCCCCAGUGCCCCCCGCCCCCCAGUUAUGAGACUCUCUUCUCCAUCCCCUUUGCCCCAGAGAUGGAUGGAGGAUGGGCCAGCUGUGUGGCCCCUUAGAGCAGCAGGCAGCCAGGGACACAAAGCACCCCUGCAAGAGAAAGGAGCUGGAGGAUGCACGCCUCCCAGAAUGCUCUCAGGGUGUGCACAGUGUGUGCAGAAGGAUGUGGGGACCACGGCUGGUACCUUUCCCUAUGCCCGAGGCUCGCCUCCCAAACCCACACGUGGAUUUUCCCUGUGGGAACCUGAGACCUCUUUGACCACAGAAUGUGCUAGGUUUGAAAUGUCAGGGAACUGAUGUCUCAGAAGACAGCCCUUCAUGAAUGAAUUGGUGGGUAAAUACCUUGGCUUCCUCACCUGUGGGGGACAAGGACCACUUUGGGCUGACCCCAUGCCGUCUUCUAGAGGACCUGGGAAAAGGAGCCCCCACUGCCCUACAGCAACACCCUUCUCAGAAGCACACCCUAAGCUGGCUUCCUCCCUUUCCUUAUCUUACUUCCCAGCACCCCUUCUGGGGAUUCCUGGGAUCACCUCCCACAUCAGCUCCUUGCCCUUGAAUCCUCUCAGAGUCUGCUUCUGAAGCAAUCCAACUGGACUGAGAUGAGAAGCCCAAAGAUGAUCACCACACUGCACUGUAGGGAGGGUGGUUUCCUCCAGAACUUUGGUUCUGUGAAUGAGUGAUGCAGGUUUGGGGCAGAGCUGAACUGCCGUGGAGAACGGGGACCAGGGCUGGCUUGAGCUGCCCCAAGACACCUUUCUCUUUACAUUCCUGGAACAGCCUAUCUUCACAUCUAUGUACGUUACAUACUCAGUGAAUACUGGUUUGAUAGGCACCAAAUUAUUCUCCUUCCAGGCCACCCACCAAGCUCUGUCCAGCUUUGUGUGAUACUCAGUAAGGUGUGUCUUGGUUUCAUAACUGCUUCAAAGACUUGGUUCGUAAAACAUAACCAGUGAAAUUGAGAAAAGAGUUUCCAAAGCUUGGUGUGUGCUGUUUGCAUAUAUUCAUAAAGUUCCUACGCACUCAGUCCCAUGGGCGUCAAAAUAAAGGCUCUGUAUUCACUGCGCUACUCCUUCAUUGUGUAUUCAGAGGUCGCCCACAGAAUAGCUGUAGCUACAAGGGAGUCCAGAUUAAGGACUCUCUGACUUUUCCCCAGGAUUUCCCCUGCUCUGUUACGACUAGAGGUCUGCUGUUGACUCAUUUGCGUAGGUUGGAAGGUAGUUGUGCAAACAACAUUUUUUCAGAUUUUCUUCAAGCAUGAGAAAGGUCAAUGAGAUAAGAUGAUUAAAAUGUUUUUUCGAUUAGGAAAAAAAAAAUGUCUGCUGUUAAGGCAACACCUUUCAGAAGCCCCUCUAAAACCAGGCCGGACCCUCUAAAACUUGCGCAGGGGUCAGCAAACUCUUUCUGCAACGGGCCCAGCAGUAAGUGUUUUAGGCUUUGCAGGCCUCAGGUCUCCGUCCUCACUACUCAACUCUGUGGUGUGAAAGCAGCCAGUCACAAUGUGCAAACGUAUGGGCGUGCAUGUGUUCUAAUAAAACUUUAUUUAGACACCCAAAUUUGAAUUGUAUUUCCUUCCAAAUGCUAUAAAAAUAGUCUUCUUUUGACUUU